UGGGGAAUCUUCCACAAUGGGGGAAACCCUGAUGCAGCGACGCCGCGUGAACGAUGAAGCCCUUCGGGGUGUAAAGUUCUUUCGACAGGAACGAUAAUGGCGGUACCUGGAGAAGAAGCUGCGGCUAACUACGUGCCAGCAGCCGUGGUAAUACGUAGGCAGCGAGCGUUGUUCGGAGUUGCUGGGCGUAAAGAGUGCGUAGGCGGCGAGCCAAGUUUGGUGUGAAAUCUCCCGGCUUAACCGGGAGGGUGCGCCGAAAACUGGUUGGCUGGAGUAUGGGAGAGGAAAGCGGAAUUCCUGGUGUAGCGGUGAAAUGCGUAGAUAUCAGGAGGAACACCUGCGAUGUAGACAGCUUUCUGGACCAAAACUGACGCUGAGGCACGAAAGCGUGGGUAGCAAACA
Molecule: ribosomal RNA, 402 nt
Filed under: uncultured bacterium
Lineage: Bacteria
Description: bacterial SSU rRNA
Rfam family: Bacterial small subunit ribosomal RNA
Source: RNAcentral